Molecule: unclassified non-coding RNA, 400 nt
Filed under: uncultured fungus
Lineage: Eukaryota; Fungi
Description: sequence contains ITS1
Rfam family: 5.8S ribosomal RNA (bases 1-105)
Source: RNAcentral
GAAAUGCGAUACGUAAUGUGAAUUGCAGAAUUCAGUGAAUCAUCGAAUCUUUGAACGCAUAUUGCGCUCUCUGGUAUUCCGGAGAGCAUGCUUGUUUGAGUAUCAGUAAACACCUCAAAUCUUUCCUUCGCUUUCUUUUUUUGUGGAAAGCGAGAGAAAUAUUUGGAUUUGAGUGAUCCUAACGUAUAUAUUUUAUAUAUUAUGGCAGGUCACUUGAAAUGCAGGUGCAGCUGAACAAUCUUCUGAGCUAAAAGCAUAUUUAUUUAGUCCUACCUUCGCGGUUGGAUUAUUACUUUUUUGCUGCAGCUAACAUAAAGGUUGAUUGUUCAAAUGGCUGACUGAUGCAGGAAUUUUAUCAGUAAGCGGCUAAAAGCGCGCGAACUGUGAAUCUCGAUCUCAA